AAUAAUGGCGCCAAGCGGGAGGUUUGACAGUUACUACUACCUCGGCCUCCCCGCCCCCACACCGGCCAGGCCAGGAGCGUCCGGAAGAGAGGCCGCAGCUGGGGGUGUUGGCCUGAGCUUCGCCCUUCUGCUAUUCGGCUGACCAAGCUUGAGCCCCUGUUGACAGAAGCCGCAACGACCCCAUCCGCUAGACGCGUUCCGCACCUGCACCGUACACGACUGCAUGUGAGCCACAAUUAGCCAGUUUUGAUGCUUCUGUUUUUAUUGACGCAGAUGCUUAUGAUGAAACAGUGAGAUCGUCAAAGAAAUCAUUAUCAUUCCCAUGGUAUCUUUUCCGAAAUAAAAGCUCAGAGGAGAAAAGGGACUCGCUCAGACAGCAUUUAACAGGGAUGGCCAAAGACAAUUCUGCUGACGUCCAUUCGUCACCUCGCCUUUGUGUGUAUGUGUGCAGUUGCCUACUGAGUUCAGAAGAGGACACAAUCCCCUGGAGUUACAGGUUCCCGAAUAGCCCAGCUGCAAAAGAAGACUCUCAGAUAAAGGAGAAGGAAAAAAAAAAAAAAAAAAGCUUCAAAGAGUAAUCAGAUAAGCUAAGCUGCAACGAAGGCUCUGAGACCAGACCAGCUGCCUGUAAGAAACAGAAAUCAGCCAUGCUGCCUCCAAGAGGUUUAGACCAACUGAGAUAACUGGAAAGGACACUCUCUAAUCUGUUGAGCUGCCUUCAGGCUGUGCAGUGGGCUCCAGGUUCCCAGCUGUCGUUAGCUGACACCCUUGCUGAUGUGGGCUUUGGUGAGGCAGCUGUCUGAGAGUAAUUUCUGCUCCUAAUCAUAUUUAGGCAAAGGGGAAGAAAACAAGAGCAAUCUACAGAGGAAAAUUGACAAGGAACAAAAUCACAGGUGGCUUCACCCAUGUCAUCACCCGCUGGUGGCGACCAUGAAUCUAUAUACAAGACGUGUGUCCAAACUGUGAUCCUAAGUAGCCAGCACAUGAAACCUAGGUGUGAUUCCCUAGCACCUCAUAAGUUUGGCAAAAUAUUGCAUUCCUGAAAUUCCAGCACUCAGAAGGUGGAGGCAAGAGGAUCAGAAGUUCAAGGGCAUUCUCCACUACAAAGCAAAUUUGAGUAUCCUGGAAUAAAUGAAACCCUGUCUUAAAAAAAAAAAAAGAAAGAAAGAAAAAGAAAAGUCAGGAACAAGGAAUGUCCUUAAGGCUCUUUUGAUGUGCUUUUCCAUUUUCCAUUCUCCUGAGUGGCUGUGGCUGCCUGUCUUUGUCCCUGCUACCUAGAAGCCACCAUAGAAAACAACCACCAUCUGUAGCUGAAGCUUUAUAUUUGGAUGCAAGAUCACAGACCUGAACUGAGCUUGGUGGCUCACACUUGCAAUCCUAGUACUAGAGAAGUGGAGGCAGAAGAAUGACCAGUUGAAAACCAACCUUGUAAGCACAGAGAAAUCGUAUCUCCAAAGCAGUGGGGAUGGGGUGGAGGUUUCCCUAGGUAUGGUAGCCUAUACCUGUAACUCCAGAACUCUGCAGUCAAAUUUUCAUGCUCUAAGCUAUAUCCCCUAUCCCUGUACUUCUGAGGCUGGGGUAAGAAGACUUCUCUGAGUUUGUGGCCAGCUGAGGCUACAUGGUGAGCUUCUGGCAUGCCUGAGCUACAGUGUGAAACUUUUUCUCAAUAAAACAAAUACAUUUUAAAAUA
This is a non-coding RNA of Cricetulus griseus (Chinese hamster), 1690 nucleotides long. The record is from RefSeq and is a predicted model, not a curated record. Lineage: Eukaryota; Metazoa; Chordata; Mammalia; Rodentia; Cricetidae.